RNAcentral lists this ribosomal RNA (423 nucleotides) under Dendropsophus minusculus group sp. ABGD cluster 47. Its description in RNAcentral is "partial large subunit ribosomal RNA". It matches the Rfam family "Bacterial large subunit ribosomal RNA", at positions 1835 to 2404 of the family's 2925-position model. The record is from RNAcentral. Lineage: Eukaryota; Metazoa; Chordata; Amphibia; Anura; Hylidae.
CUUGACAUACAUGAGAGGUCCAGCCUGCCCAGUGACUAAGUUCAACGGCCGCGGUAUCCUAACCGUGCGAAGGUAGCGUAAUCACUUGUUCUUUAAAUGAGGACUAGUAUGAAUGGCACCACGAGGGUUGUACUGUCUCCUUUUUUUAAUCAAUGAAACUGAUCUCCCCGUGAAGAAGCGGGGAUAAAAAUAUAAGACGAGAAGACCCUAUGGAGCUUUAAACAAUUAUAGCACUGGCCCACAUCUCCUAUUCUUCUGAGAUAUAACUAUUAUACAGGCCAACAUGACUAUUAGUUUUAGGUUGGGGUGACCGCGGAGCAAAAACCAACCUCCACGUUGAACGGAGCUAUUCCUGAGCUAAAAACUACAACUUUAAGCACCAAUAAACUGACAUUAAUUGACCCAACAUGUUGAGCAACGAAC